Molecule: ribosomal RNA, 253 nt
Filed under: uncultured bacterium
Lineage: Bacteria
Description: partial 16S ribosomal RNA
Rfam family: Bacterial small subunit ribosomal RNA
Source: RNAcentral
UACGUAGGGGGCAAGCGUUGUCCGGAAUCAUUGGGCGUAAAGCGCGUGUAGGCGGCCCGGUAAGUCCGCUGUGAAAGUCCAGGGCUCAACCCUGGGAUGCCGGUGGAUACUGUCGGGCUCGAGUCCGGAAGAGGAGUGUGGAAUUCCUGGUGUAGCGGUGAAAUGCGCAGAUAUCAGGAAGAACACCCGUGGCGAAGGCGGCUCUCUGGGACGGUACUGACGCUGAGACGCGAAAGCGUGGGGAGCAAACAGG